AGAUUCCACUCCAAGUGAGCACUACAGAGUAGCCAAAGAAAUUAGCACACAAUAGAUUGAAAUUUAAAACAAAAUAAGAAGGCCUGAAAAUAAUUUAACUUGCACACUUAAGAUAUGCAGUAAUAGUACUAGGCCAGUUUACUGUUCCAGGAAACAAUCAGAAAGACAGUUGGAAAGCAGGAAACUAAUGGAGAGGGGAAAUCUAUGUCCUCAUGAGAUAUGAAGUUGUCCAAUCAGGAAAAUUUUCACUGAAAGCAAAUUCUGAAGCAAAAAGAAAAGAUUAAAUGGGUCAUCAUUUAUUACUAUGAUCAUAUUAUCUGCCAGAAGUAAUGUAUAAGCAGGUGAAACAAACAGUUCAGAUUUCAAUCCAGUGUUGAUAUAAUAAAUGCAGCAGAAGGGAGAGAAAAAGAGAGAUUUCCUCGAUGAAUACAACGCAACUGUCUCAUAAGAACUUAACCAAUCAACUAAUCAAUGCAACCAUUAGUGGAGAAAGUUAUUAUUAGAUCACAGUUUCAAAUAUGCAUCACUCAGUUUGCUUGAAUGCCUCGAUCAAAACAUUAUGGUUUGAGAUCAUGAUAGGGAAUAAUGCGCAGGAAUAUGUCAAAUCGUCAACAGAUACAUAAAUGGUCGUGUUAUAGGGUAGGGUACAAAAUAAUAAUUUAAAAUUGCAACAGAAAAGUUUAAACAAUAAUUUAAGUAAAAAUUCCUUCUCAAAAAUCGAAAGUCACCUGAUUGGGCAGUAGUGAGGAAGU
Molecule: unclassified non-coding RNA, 752 nt
Filed under: Hevea brasiliensis (rubber tree)
Lineage: Eukaryota; Viridiplantae; Streptophyta; Magnoliopsida; Malpighiales; Euphorbiaceae
Source: RNAcentral